This 504-nucleotide ribosomal RNA is filed under the name uncultured bacterium. RNAcentral describes it as "bacterial SSU rRNA". It matches the Rfam family "Bacterial small subunit ribosomal RNA", at positions 28 to 531 of the family's 1533-position model. The record is from RNAcentral.
GAUGAACGCUGGCGGCGUGCCUCAAACAUGCAAGUCGAGCGGGGCUAUGUAAUAUCGCAAGGUAGAACAUAGCCUAGCGGCGAACGGGUGAGUAACACGUGGGUAACCUGCCUGGAAGACAGGGAUAACGAUUCGAAAGGGUCGCUAAUACCUGAUAAUAUCCUUUCAUCGCAUGGUGAUAGGAAGAAAGGGGAAACCCCGCUUUUCAGAUGGGCCCGCGUCCCAUCAGCUAGUUGGUAAGGUAAAGGCUUACCAAGGCGACGACGGGUAGCCGGUCUGAGAGGAUGUACGGCCACACUGGGACUGAGAUACGGCCCAGACUCCUACGGGAGGCAGCAGUUGGGAAUCUUAGGCAAUGGACGAAAGUCUGACCUAGCGACGCCGCGUGAGGGAAGAAGGCCUUCGGGUUGUAAACCUCUGUCAUGGGGAAGAAGUAAGUGACGGUACCCCAAGAGGAAGCCCCUGCUAACUACGUGCCAGCAGCCGCGGUAAAAGUACUCUAAU